Molecule: unclassified non-coding RNA, 267 nt
Filed under: plant metagenome
Description: partial contains small subunit ribosomal RNA, internal transcribed spacer 1, and 5.8S ribosomal RNA
Source: RNAcentral
UUUCCGUAGGUGAACCUGCGGAAGGAUCAUUAUCGUACAAAAUGUGAGGGGCAUGCGAGGGCUGUCGCUGACCCAAGAGUCGUGCACGCCCGAGUGUGUCCUCUUGCAUAGUAAUCCAUCUCACCCUUUGUGCAUCACCGCGUGGGCACCCUUCGGGAUCAUCUCGGAGGGGGGCUCGCGUUUUCACACAAACCCCCCUUUUAAAAGUGUAGAAUGACCACAUUUAUGCAAUCAAUACAACUUUCAACAACGGAUCUCUUGGCUCUC